Molecule: non-coding RNA, 20 nt
Filed under: Arabidopsis thaliana (thale cress)
Lineage: Eukaryota; Viridiplantae; Streptophyta; Magnoliopsida; Brassicales; Brassicaceae
Source: RNAcentral
CACACCGCCCGUCGCUCCUA